RNAcentral lists this ribosomal RNA (388 nucleotides) under Syndiniales sp. RNAcentral's name for it is "partial small subunit ribosomal RNA". It matches the Rfam family "Eukaryotic small subunit ribosomal RNA", at positions 582 to 975 of the family's 1831-position model. The record is from RNAcentral. Lineage: Eukaryota; Dinophyceae; Syndiniales.
AUUCCAGCUCCAAUAGCGUAUAUUAAAGCUGUUGCGGUAAAAAAGCUCGUAGUUGGAUUUCUGUUGAGGGCGACCGGUCCAUACAACGUAUGCGUAUCUGGCUCGGCCUCGGCAUCCUCUCGAUAGACGUUUCUGCGCUUGAUUGCGUGGAGCGGAUCUCGGGACUUUUACUUUGAGGAAAUUAGAGUGUUCACGGCAGGCUAUCGCCAGAAUACAUUAGCAUGGAAUAAUACUAUAGGAUCUUGAUUCUAUUUUGUUGGUUUCUAGAAUUGAGAUAAUGAUUAAUAGGGACAAUUGGGGGCAUUCGUAUCAACACGUCAGAGGUGGAAUUCUUGGAUUGUGUUGCGACGAACUACUGCGAAAGCAUUUGCCAAGGAUGUUUUCAUCA